RNAcentral lists this ribosomal RNA (468 nucleotides) under uncultured bacterium. RNAcentral describes it as "partial 16S ribosomal RNA". It matches the Rfam family "Bacterial small subunit ribosomal RNA", at positions 28 to 507 of the family's 1533-position model. The record is from RNAcentral.
GACGAACGCUGGCGGCGUGCUUAACACAUGCAAGUCGAACGGAAAGGCCCUGCUUUUGUGGGGUGCUCGAGUGGCGAACGGGUGAGUAACACGUGAGUAACCUGCCAUUGACUUUGGGAUAACUUCAGGAAACUGGGGCUAAUACCGGAUAGGAGCUCCUGCUGCAUGGUGGGGGUUGGAAAGUUUCGGCGGUUGGGGAUGGACUCGCGGCUUAUCAGCUUGUUGGUGGGGUAGUGGCUUACCAAGGCUUUGACGGGUAGCCGGCCUGAGAGGGUGACCGGCCACAUUGGGACUGCGCUACGGCCCAGACUCCUACGGGAGGCAGCAGUGGGGAAUAUUGCACAAUGGGCUGCAGCCUGAUGCAGCAACGCCGCGUGCGGGAUGACGGCCUUCGGGUUGUAAACCGCUUUCGCCUGUGACGAAGCGUGAGUGACGGUAAUGUGUAAAGAAGCACCGGCUAACUACGUG